GAGCAAGCUGGGACUUGCCAUCUUUCCAAGCUCAUCACCAGGGCCAACUUGAAGAGUUGUCCCUCCUGCCCAGCACGUUUCUCUCCCUUUUUCCCCCACUCCUUUGCCUGGGAUGACAUAGUCCUGGGUUGUCUUUGCUUUCGUGUGUGGGACUUCAAACUGGUUGAACCAAUUCAUAGUGGAUGAUUCACUGGACACGUUUUGGCCCUCACUUUGUUCCUACAGUGUCUGUCAGCAGCUCGCAGUUCUUAGAGCUGUGCUAUAGCUGCCAUUCUGCAUCACUGCCGUCCCCAGAGCCCCCAACACACACCAGGGAUGUACAGAUCAUCAUCAUGCUCCUUCCUGCAAUCAGUUCUGGGUGUCCUGCUGAUCCCUGACCUGCUAAGUCAAGGCUUUUCAAUGCCCCAGUUUGAGUGGCAGAGGUGAUUAGAUGAAUUUAUUUUUUUUUUGUUGGAUUGGAGCUGGACUGGACAAAGGAAACUAUCCAGAAUUCAGUUUGUAGUAGGUAAUAAGCCAUGAGACUGGUGAGGCCACGCAGUUUUUGGAGUAACCUGUAGCACUAGAGGUACACUAAGCACUUCUCUGCUUAGAACUUCUGCUCUAUUUGAGGCUGUUGCCAAGUGUGUGUGUGGGGGGGGAGUGUCAUCUCAACGAGGGUGGCCUCACUGCCAGCAUCGCUUCUGCCAGAGCUGUCGCCUGCAUCUGCAGAGCAAACUGCAAGCUCAGCUCUUCCCCAGCUCCCCUGCCUUAUUCCUUCCCUGAAUCCUUUUCCUUUCCAAGGUGGGAGCAGCCUGGCUCCCAGAGCAGCACAAUCCAGUUCUCCCUCCCUGGCUGAGGCAGCUGUGAGUCACUGUGCUCACGAGGUUCGUCAGCGGGAGGAACUGGUCCGGGGAACGUGACGGUGAUGCCGCUGGAGCGCGGCCAGCUCGGGUCUGUGCCCGUGGUGUUCCCUGUGGCACAGCGUCCGACGGCUGGAGACAGAGCAGCUGCUGUAUGUGGAGACCACUCACACCCACAGUGAUUGCUCCAGAGAGUGGCUUUCCUGUCGUGCUGUUCCAGUUGGCUGCAAGGAAGGUGCCAGAUCGAUGCACGUAUAGACAAUGCUGCUCAAGGCUGCUCCUUCAAGAGGGACGUUCCCCUUCCUUUGCCUGCAGGGCUGUGGGAUCCUGCUGGACUCCAGAGGGACCUGUGGUGCCUGAGGACUGGCUGGUUGGAUGCACAGAGCACCGUGAGUGGGUUGGAUUUGGGCAGGCAAACCCUCUGCCUGGCCCUACCUCCUGGCAACGAGGCGGUGUCAGCUCUGGCACAACUUCUGGGGCUGGAGGUACCAUCCUGCUGCCUACUCCAGUUGUCCAGCCACAGAGAUUUCCGCUGGGCCUCCCAAGGGUGUUUAAAAU
This is a long non-coding RNA of Chiroxiphia lanceolata (lance-tailed manakin), 1397 nucleotides long. RefSeq lists it as uncharacterized. The record is from RefSeq and is a predicted model, not a curated record. The transcript has 2 exons. Lineage: Eukaryota; Metazoa; Chordata; Aves; Passeriformes; Pipridae.